AUUGAACGCUGGCGGAAUGCUUUACACAUGCAAGUCGAGCGGCAGCGCGGGGGGCAACCCUGGCGGCGAGCGGCGAACGGGUGAGUAAUACAUCGGAACGUACCCAGACGUGGGGGAUAGCUCGGCGAAAGCCGGAUUAAUACCGCAUACGACCUGAGGGUGAAAGCGGGGGAUCGGCAAGACCUCGCGCGUUUGGAGCGGCCGAUGGCGGAUUAGCUAGUUGGUGGGGUAAAGGCCCACCAAGGCGACGAUCCGUAGCGGGUCUGAGAGCACGACCUGCAACAUCGGGACUGAGACACUGCCCGGACUCCUACGGGAGGCUGCAGCGACGAAUCUUCCGCAAUGGGCGCAAGCCUGACGGAGCGACGCCGCGUGUGGGAUGAAGCGCCUUCGGUGUGUAACCACUGUCAGGGGGCAGAACCAAUGAUCGCCCCCAAAGGAAGAGACGGCGUAACCCUGUG
This 461-nucleotide ribosomal RNA is filed under the name uncultured bacterium. RNAcentral's name for it is "bacterial SSU rRNA". It matches the Rfam family "Bacterial small subunit ribosomal RNA", at positions 29 to 507 of the family's 1533-position model. The record is from RNAcentral.